GACGAACGCUGGCGGCGUGCUUAACACAUGCGAGUCGAACGGAAAGGCCCCCUUGUGGGGUACUCGAGUGGCGAACGGGUGAGUAACACGUGAGUAACCUACCCUUGACUUUGGGAUAACUUCAGGAAACUGGGGCUAAUACCGGAUAGGAGCUCCUGCUGCAUGGUGGGGGUUGGAAAGUUUCGGCGGUUGGGGAUGGACUCGCGGCUUAUCAGCUUGUUGGUGGGGUAGUGGCUCACCAAGGCUUUGACGGGUAGCCGGCCUGAGAGGGUGACCGGCCACAUUGGGACUGAGAUAUGGCCCAGACUCCUACGGGAGGCAGCAGUGGGGAAUAUUGCACAAUGGGCGGAAGCCUGAUGCAGCAACGCCGCGUGCGGGAUGACGGCCUUCGGGUUGUAAACCGCUUUCGCCUGUGACGAAGCGUGAGUGACGGUAAUGGGUAAAGAAGCACCGGCUAACUACGUG
RNAcentral lists this ribosomal RNA (465 nucleotides) under uncultured bacterium. Its description in RNAcentral is "partial 16S ribosomal RNA". It matches the Rfam family "Bacterial small subunit ribosomal RNA", at positions 28 to 507 of the family's 1533-position model. The record is from RNAcentral.